UCAGACCUACGGGACGCAGCAGUAGGGAAUCUUCCACAAUGGGCGAAAGCCUGAUGGAGCAACGCCGCGUGGGUGAAGAAGGUCUUCGGAUCGUAAAACCCUGUUGUUAGAGAAGAAAGUGCGUGAGAGUAACUGUUCACGUUUCGACAGUAUCUAACCAGAAAGCCACGGCUAACUACGUGCCAGCAGCCGCGGUAAUACGUAGGUGGCAAGCGUUAUCCGGAUUUAUUGGGCGUAAAGGGAACGCAGUCGGUCUUUUAAGUCUGAUGUGAAAGCCUUCGGCUUAACCGGAGUAGAGCAUUGGG
RNAcentral lists this ribosomal RNA (305 nucleotides) under uncultured bacterium. Its description in RNAcentral is "bacterial SSU rRNA". It matches the Rfam family "Bacterial small subunit ribosomal RNA", at positions 333 to 630 of the family's 1533-position model. The record is from RNAcentral.